GUGUCAGCCGCCGCGGUAAUACGGAGGGUGCGAGCGUUGUCCGGAAUCACUGGGCGUAAAGGGCGCGUAGGCGGCUCUCUAAGUCACUUGUGAAAUCCUGGGGCUCAACUCCAGGGCUGCAGGUGAGACUGGAGGGCUAGAGCUCGGUAGAGGCGAGUGGAAUUCCCGGUGUAGCGGUGGAAUGCGUAGAUAUCGGGAAGAACAUCGGUGGCGAAGGCGGCUCGCUGGGCCGAUGCUGACGCUGAUGCGCGAAAGCGUGGGGAGCAAACAGGAUUAGAUACCCCGGUAGUCC
Molecule: ribosomal RNA, 292 nt
Filed under: uncultured bacterium
Lineage: Bacteria
Description: partial 16S ribosomal RNA
Rfam family: Bacterial small subunit ribosomal RNA
Source: RNAcentral